This 238-nucleotide small RNA is filed under the name Arabidopsis thaliana (thale cress). RNAcentral's name for it is "ATSL190590". Lineage: Eukaryota; Viridiplantae; Streptophyta; Magnoliopsida; Brassicales; Brassicaceae. The record is from RNAcentral.
UUUUUGAGUUAAUAACCCAUGCUUAUAUGUUUAUAUCUUUGCAAAUCUGAACCCCCCACCCCACCCCCAAACAAAAAAAGGUUUGCACAUCAUGUCAGAGGUGUAGUGGAAAUUACUAAAAAGGGUAAAAGCAUAACUUUUUUAACAGUUCCCAAAAUGGAUAAAAUGCUUAAGAUGAGAUGUCACCUAGAUUCCCUACAUCAGCUACUUCUGUAUAUUUAGUGAAUUUUAAUAUUUU